CACACAGAGAGAGAGAGACACACACACAUACACACACAGUCUCACACACACACACACACAGUCUCACACACACAGUCACACACAUGCACGCACACAGUCACACACAUACACGCACACAGUGUCACACACAGUCUCACACAUACAUAUACACACACAUUGUAGUAAGCUACAUUUCCCUUAGAAUAUUUCAACGAUUACUCUUGACAAUAACUGUUAAUUCGUUAACGAUUCGACUCGAGUUUCGUACAUGUUACGAGUUUCUUCAUAUGUCUCGAACAUGGCGGUUGUUCGUAGCAAACCUAACGGGCUGGGGCCCCGGGCCCCACCGACAUUAUCCUAGUACGGCAGGACCAUGGUAGGGAAUCUCCGGCAGGAAGGCCGAGAUAUAUUAGCUACCCGGGCGGGGUGCUCUGGCCAGACACUGAAGUAUCACGAAUACUAGGUGUUCGGAGUUCAAGACUCCGCCGCCGCUGUAUAGAUUGUUUUCGUAUACGCGUCUAUGUAGACUAGUGCUUGCCGCUGGGUUGGUCUCCUUCCUGCCUCGGCGAGGACUGUCAACUCAACGCUUCCGGGUAACAGGCUGUUGGGAGUUAGAGAUUGAUCAACAUCAUGACCAACCUAACAGCUGUGAGCACACAGCUCGCACCUGCAGGCUUUGUGACUGCAGGGCGGUUCAAGGCGAAAUGCAUGCCUUUGUGAAAUGCCCGGCAUACACUAGUACACGGGCUAAGUACGAACAUGACCUCGCUUUUCAAGGGUUCAACGUGCGCACGAUUUGACUGAGGCCCCACCCCUGGCACUAGCCAGGUUCCCCUCGGAAGUCUGGGAGACCCGGCAUGUUGCUCUAUGGCGCUUCAUAUGCUCAAGUGGACGAGGGAGGACAAUGAUGGUCCACCAUGUAACUGCACUUCAAACGAUUCACCGUCCAUGGGCACGCCAGCUUUUAUGGACAACCCCGCACUUGUGUGGAACUUGUAACACACACAAACACAUACAAAGACAGACACACAGACACACCCACCCACCCAUUUCAGUCAAACACACACACACACACACACACACAGACAGACAAACAGAGACAGACAAAAGGAGAGAGACAGAGACAGACACAGACAGACAGACACAGAGGCAGACACACAGACAGACACGGAGACAGACACAGAGACAGACACAGAGGCAGACACACAGACAGACAGACACGGACAGACAGACACCGAGACAGACACAGACAGACAGACACAGACAGACAGACAGACAGACAGA
RNAcentral lists this long non-coding RNA (1263 nucleotides) under Volvox carteri. RNAcentral's name for it is "long non-coding RNA (VCAR_LNC004195)". The record is from RNAcentral. Lineage: Eukaryota; Viridiplantae; Chlorophyta; Chlorophyceae; Chlamydomonadales; Volvocaceae.